Molecule: long non-coding RNA, 556 nt
Organism: Rhea pennata
Lineage: Eukaryota; Metazoa; Chordata; Aves; Rheiformes; Rheidae
Exons: 3
Source: RefSeq, a predicted model, not a curated record
ACAGGAUUUCAAGAAGCAAAAAUACCCUCAAGUAGCUAGCAUACACCUAUCCACAGUCUGAUAGCAUGAUGCUCAUGACGGGAUGUCACUGACGGUCUGCGUUCAAAUCCCUGGCUGAUGACUGUGACUGCUGGGAUUUUGGACACACUUCUGACGAGAUUCGAGCCACGAAGCAGUGAAAGACCUGGGCCGGGGCGGCCGUGGGACCGGGGCCGCCCAAGUCCGCAGGCUGCAGAGCUGCUCCCUGGGCUGCUGGGUUUUCACAUAUGCAGAGGUGCUAAACAAAAAUUAGAGAACGAUUCAAAAACAAAAUUUUGUUUCAAACAGUGGAAGAGGGCUAGGAUCUGUUCCUUUAAAAUCACCACGCGAGUUAAAAACGGAAAUUAAGAAAGGUUAAAGAAACAUCGCUCCGUGGUGGUUCCUGCAUGCUCUAAGAAACUGCAGUGUAUCUACCUAACAGAAGAAUCUACUCCUUUGGAGAAACAGUAAAAUUGCCUGUUUUAAGGUUCAAAAUGUAAUAGUUGCUUAUGCAGCCCAAAUCUGUGUCCUAGUCACU